Molecule: non-coding RNA, 273 nt
Organism: Plectropomus leopardus (leopard coralgrouper)
Lineage: Eukaryota; Metazoa; Chordata; Actinopteri; Perciformes; Serranidae
Source: RefSeq, a predicted model, not a curated record
ACAGCCGACUGUUUGUUACAAUCAUUUAACAAACUGAACCGAAACCACGAAGCUUCAGCCGGACCCGCUGUGUUUCUGUCUGUGAUGGAAACGGUCGCUGAGGCUGUGUUUUUGUCUUUAGCUGGCUCCGGCUGUGCCUGUUAGCGUCGACAAAAGAAGGACCAGCAGCCAUCAGAGUGUCGGCGAGUGAAGGCGGUGAUGUCGUGUUACCGUGUUCUCUCAGCACCAACGAGAACAUCGAGAAAAACCUCUUUGACUGGAGAAAAGAUGACG